AGGACGAACGCUGGCGGCGUGCCUAAUACAUGCAAGUCGAACGGUCUUUCUAUGGAAGCUUGCUUCCACUGAGAAGAUAGUGGCGAACGGGGUGAGUAACACGUGGGUAACCUGCCCAUAAGAGGGGGAUAACAUCCGGAAACGGGUGCUAAUACCGCAUAGUUUUCUUGAUCGCAUGAUUGAGAAAGGAAAGACGGCCUUUGUGCUGUCGCUUAUGGAUGGACCCGCGGCGUAUUAGUUAGUUGGUGAGGUAACGGCUCACCAAGACGAUGAUACGUAGCCGACCUGAGAGGGUGAUCGGCCACAUUGGGACUGAGACACGGCCCAAACUCCUACGGGAGGCAGCAGUAGGGAAUCUUCCGCAAUGGACGAAAGUCUGACGGAGCAACGCCGCGUGAGUGAAGAAAGGUUUUCGGAUCGUAAAACUCUGUUGUCAGAGAAGAACAAGUUGGAGAGUAACUGCUCCAGCCUUGACGGUAUCUGACCAGAAAGCCACGGCUAACUACGUGCCAGCCGCCGC
Molecule: ribosomal RNA, 520 nt
Filed under: uncultured bacterium
Lineage: Bacteria
Description: bacterial SSU rRNA
Rfam family: Bacterial small subunit ribosomal RNA
Source: RNAcentral